AACGAACGCUGGCGGUAGGCCUAACACAUGCAAGUCGAGCGGCACCCCAGUAAGAGCUCGCUCUUAUGGGUAGCGCGUGGCAGCCUGGCUUGUAAUUCAUCACAAUUUACUUUAUCGUGGGGGAAUACCUAGGGAACCUUACGCUAAUACCACUUACCACCUACAGGUCACACCAGGGGCUAUUCGGACCUUGGUCGAUUGAAUGCUCCCAGGUCGGAUUAGCUAGCUGGCGGGGUAAAGGCCCACCAAGGCCACGGUCCCUAGGUGGGCUGCGAGGAUGAUCAGCCACAUUGGAACUGAGACACGGUCCAGACACCUACGGGAGGCAGCAGUGGGGAAUAUUGGAGAAAGGGCGCAAGCCGAAUCCAGCCAUACCGCGUGAGUGAAGAAGGCCUUAGGGUUGGAGAGCCAUUUUGUUGGGAAAGAAAAGCAGCAGGUUAAUACGCCACGGUUCUGACGGUACCCAAAGAAUAAGCACCGGCUAACUUCGUG
RNAcentral lists this ribosomal RNA (492 nucleotides) under uncultured bacterium. Its description in RNAcentral is "partial 16S ribosomal RNA". It matches the Rfam family "Bacterial small subunit ribosomal RNA", at positions 29 to 507 of the family's 1533-position model. The record is from RNAcentral.